UGGGGAAUAUUGGGCAAUGGGCGAAAGCCUGACCCAGCAACGCCGCGUGGGGGAUGAAGGCCUUAGGGUUGUAAACUCCUUUUAUUAGGGAAGAUAAUGACGGUACCUAAUGAAUAAGCAUCGGCUAACUUCGUGCCAGCAGCCGCGGUAAUACGAAGGAUGCUAGCGUUACUCGGAAUUACUGGGCGUAAAGCAUGCGUAGGCGGGAUGCUAAGUUGAUAGUGAAAUCCCCAAGCUUAACUUGGGAAUUGCUAUCAAAACUGACAUCCUAGAAUAUGAGAGGGAGUAAGGGAAUUCCUGGUGUAGGGGUAAAAUCCGUAGAUAUCAGGAGGAAGACCGGAAGCGAAAGCGCUUACUUGGCUCAUUAUUGACGCUGAGGCAUGAGAGCGUGGGGAUCGAA
This 400-nucleotide ribosomal RNA is filed under the name uncultured bacterium. Its description in RNAcentral is "bacterial SSU rRNA". It matches the Rfam family "Bacterial small subunit ribosomal RNA", at positions 355 to 772 of the family's 1533-position model. The record is from RNAcentral.